Long non-coding RNA from Oreochromis aureus, 2016 nucleotides. Lineage: Eukaryota; Metazoa; Chordata; Actinopteri; Cichliformes; Cichlidae. The record is from Ensembl.
AGAUGAAGUUACUGAACCUGUACAUCAAGCGUGCUCAGACGACAAACAGCAAUAGCAGCAGUUCCUCAGAUGUCUCCUCUCACAGUUAAUGGAGGUGAUUUCAUCCAUUCCAAGACUCCAGAUCAGACUUCUCUGUCUUUGAGCAUCACCCUCCUCAUCACGGCUCUGCAGCUCAUCCUCUCGACCCAUUUUGUUCCUUCGUGUCAUCCGCCUCCGCUCUGGAAACAUCUGAAUGUGACUGCUGUCCUGGUUUCAAGUUGGUGGGGAAGGAGUGGACACAUUUGGAUUUUUGGAUUUAAGAAAUGGCGCUUUGUCCUCCUCCUGUAUUCCCACCAUCUCCACAUCAGCUCCAAUCUGUUUCUCCUUCAUCCCUUCUGCUUUUAGAUUUGUUUCUAUAAGCGUAAAAUAUUCACAUCAAAGAAAUGUUGCUGUUAGAUCAUCUUCAGUUUGGGAUGAAAUGUCAUUUGGCUGGCCCAGUGAUGGCAACAAGCCCAUAAAGUGUGCGGUGAAUUCUGUUAAGGGCAUGAAGACCAAAUAUUGCAAGGAGGGAAAAAAAUGAGAUAUGGACAGAAACACAAAAAGAGGAAGUCCCGUGUGAGCAUUUUUGUCCAAGGAUCAUAUUUGACUGUAAUUUCUUUUUCUUAAUGUGCUCGUUUCUCUUUAGGAGUGGCUUAAAACCCAAACUGUCAUUAUUACAAAACAGAUCUCGUCUCUAAACUGAACGACAAUCCUUCACAUUUCGUGCAGGUCUUUUAACAGAGAAAACAAACCACAGUCGCCACAUGGAGUGGAAGCUAAGCCUGUUAAAAGCCGUAACGUUUGUGUCGUUUUUACUUCCUGCUUCCAUUUGUGUCUGAACGCUCACUUUGUCUUACAGGAAGUCCUUUGUAAAUACAGCAGAUGAGGAGUCGGGGGAGAACAGGCCUUACGUUUGUGGACUGCAGAGAGUGAACGGGAUGUACGGCACCGUCACUCUCGGCUCUUUAAAAAAAAGAAAGAAAAACAAAAACAAAAAAAUGUGAAUCUACAGGAGAAGCGUCCCCAGCGGGCCGCGGCGCUCUCAGACUUGUGACCGUGCAAACACAGUAUUACUCGUUUCCUCUUUCACAGCUUCUGCAAUAACCACAAAGAAAUCAAAGGUGUUUUGUACAUACACUUUCUGACCGCUGCUUCACAGAAAAGCAGACUUUUUAUGUUUUUUUGGCUUGCAUGAACCUGCGGCACGCGUCAACUCAGCGCUGCGCGGAGAGCCCGGAGCUUCUUCGGCUGUUAAAGUGCACUUUUAACAUCAUGAGAUCACUCGACUCUGAGGAGGCGCUCGUACGGAAAAGGUACACACUCUGUGUUUAAUUUAUUCUGCUGUAAAGUUUUAAGUGGUGGAUUCCUGCUGUGAAGCACUUCAUCAAUUCCCUGAUUGGGAAGAAGUUUCUCAGUCUGAUCAGCUUUUAAUUAUUGGACCUGAUUUGGUUUUGAUGGUCAGUUGAUCUGCUGUAGUUUUUUUCUUUAUAAUACUCUGAAUAAUGAAUAAUAAUGCUGAUUCCUGAUUUGUCGAAAUCCGCUGAGAAUGGUCCAACUCUGCUUCUUUAAGGAAAUGAAUGUACAGAAACAACACGGUGAAUUUGCUGGUACUCAAAAGGAUUUGACUUUUUCUUUCUCAGCGUCCUUCAGCACGCUCAUUUAAUCAGCUGAGUUUUUACUGCAAAAGCAAACCUGCAAACUGGUGAAAACCCACCAAUCUUCUCGCCUCUGUCCUCUCGUUGCUGGAUCUAAAACAGACGCGACCGCGUUCCUUACAGACUGUUCACUAUGCAUGUUCAGCAGUCUUUCUUUGGCUUCACGUGCUCAUGUAAUAUUCACACCUGUAUUUAUAUAUUUUAUUUGAUCUUAUUGUAUUUAGUUCUGUCAUGAUGAACUGUACAGAAGGUUUUUUGUUUUGUUUUUUAUGUUAACAUCAAUGUGUGAUCAGUUUGCAGCGAUGUAAAGAAACUGUUUGCUGUAGAAAUAAAAAGACCGAGA